Long non-coding RNA from Zingiber officinale, 182 nucleotides. RefSeq lists it as uncharacterized. The transcript has 3 exons. The record is from RefSeq and is a predicted model, not a curated record. Lineage: Eukaryota; Viridiplantae; Streptophyta; Magnoliopsida; Zingiberales; Zingiberaceae.
GCAAUAACCUUUCUGGGGUUAUUCCAGAAUCAAUUGGACUUCUUCAGAAACUCGAAGUUUUACGGCUAGACAGCAAUAAUUUGAUUGGACCAGUUCCUCAAUGUAUCAGCAAUCUGACAAGACUCAAAGUGCUAAACUUUGCAAACAACGAGCUAACAGGAAUGAUACCAAAUAUUACUGGA